This 1320-nucleotide ribosomal RNA is filed under the name metagenome. Its description in RNAcentral is "bacterial LSU rRNA". It matches the Rfam family "Bacterial large subunit ribosomal RNA", at positions 1561 to 2925 of the family's 2925-position model. The record is from RNAcentral.
AGUGGAUGGGGAGCAACAAAAGUUGUGUGUGUGUAAAGGUAGUGCCAAGAAAAGCUGAGUUGAUGUUGAACAAAAGAUUCCGGUACCCGAAACCGACACAGGUAGGCAAGUAGAGAGUACUAAGGGGCGCGAGGUAACUCUCUCCAAGGAACUCGGCAAAAUGACCCCGUAACUUCGGGAGAAGGGGUGCCACCGAGAGGUGGUCGCAGUGAAGAGUCCCAGGCGACUGUUUAGCAAAAACAUAGGUCUCUGCAAACUCGAAAGAGGAGGUAUAGGGGCUGACGCCUGCCCAGUGCCGGAAGGUUAAAGAAGUUGGUCAGUCGAAAGAUGAAGCUAACGACUGAAGCCCCGGUGAACGGCGGCCGUAACUAUAACGGUCCUAAGGUAGCGAAAUUCCUUGUCGGGUAAGUUCCGACCCGCACGAAAGGCGUAACGAUCUGGGAGCUGUCUCGGAGAGAGGCUCGGCGAAAUAGGAUUGUCUGUGAAGAUACGGACUACCUGCAUUUGGACAGAAAGACCCUAUGAAGCUUUACUGUAGCUUGGAAUUGUGUUCGGGCUUGCUGUGCGCAGGAUAGGUGGGAGGCUAUGAAGGUAUGCUUGUGGGUGUACUGGAGCCGUCAGUGAGAUACCACUCUCAGGGGGCUAGAAUUCUAACUAAAGAAAGGACAGUUUCAGGUGGGCAGUUUGACUGGGGCGGUCGCCUCCAAAAAGGUAACGGAGGCGUACAAAGGUUCCUUCAGACUGGUUGGAAAUCAGUCGCAGAGUGCAAAGGCAGAAAGGAGCUUGACUGCGAGAAUUACAGUUCGAGCAGGGUGGAAACACGGUCUUAGUGAUCCGACGGUGCUGUGUGGAAGGGCCGUCGCUCAACGGAUAAAAGUUACUCUAGGAUAACAGGCUGAUCUCCCCCAAGAGUUCACAUCGACGGGGAGGUUUGGCACCUCGAUGUCGGCUCAUCGCAACCUGGGGCGGAAGUACGUCCCAAGGGUUGGGCUGUUCGCCCAUUAAAGCGGUACGUGAGCUGGGUUCAGAACGUCGUGAGACAGUUCGGUCCAUAUCCGAUGUAGGCGAGAGAAUAUUGAGAGGAGCCUUCCUUAGUACGAGAGGACCGGGAAGGACGCACCGCUGGUGUACCUGUUAUGAUGCCAAUUGUAAACGCAGGGUAGCCAAGUGCGGAGAGGAUAACCGCUGAAAGCAUCUAAGUGGGAAGCCCACCUCAAGAUGAGUAUUCUGUGUUAAGGUCACGGGAAGACGACCCGUAAAUAGGCACGAGGUGGAAGUGCAGUAAUGUAUGAAGCCGAAGUGUACUAAUAGACCGUCAGC